Molecule: ribosomal RNA, 360 nt
Filed under: Acidobacteriota bacterium
Lineage: Bacteria; Pseudomonadati; Acidobacteriota
Description: bacterial SSU rRNA
Rfam family: Bacterial small subunit ribosomal RNA
Source: RNAcentral
AUGAGAGUUUGAUCCUGGCUCAGAGCGAACGCUGGCGGCGUGCUUAACACAUGCAAGUCGAGUGCGCAGUUUGCUGUAGCAAUACAGCAGGCCGGCGCACGGCGCACGGGUGCGUAACACGUGGGCAACCUGCCCUCCAAAGGGGGAUAACCCGUCGAAAGGCGGGCUAAUACCGCAUGACAUUCCGGUGGCCUCGGCCGCCGGAAUCAAAGCUCGUAAGGGCGUUGGAGGAGGGGCCCGCGGCCGAUUAGCUUGUUGGCGAGGUAACGGCUCACCAAGGCUUUGAUCGGUAGCCGGUCUGAGAGGAUGGCCGGCCACACUGGAACUGAGACACGGUCCAGACUCCUACGGGAGGCAGCA